AACGAACGCUGGCGGCAUGCCUAACACAUGCAAGUCGAACGAAGCCUUCGGGCUUAGUGGCGCACGGGUGCGUAACACUGGGAAUCUGCCCUUCGGUUCGGAAUAACAGUUAGAAAUGACUGCUAAUACCGGAUGAUGACGUAAGUCCAAAGAUUUAUCGCCGAAGGAUGAGCCCGCGUAGGAUUAGGUAGUUGGUAGGGUAAUGGCCUACCAAGCCGACGAUCCUUAGCUGGUCUGAGAGGAUGAUCAGCCACACUGGGACUGAGACACGGCCCAGACUCCUACGGGAGGCAGCAGUGGGGAAUAUUGGACAAUGGGCGAAAGCCUGAUCCAGCAAUGCCGCGUGAGUGAUGAAGGCCUUAGGGUUGUAAAGCUCUUUUACCAGGGAUGAUAAUGACAGUACCUGGAGAAUAAGCUCCGGCUAACUCCGUG
Molecule: ribosomal RNA, 432 nt
Filed under: uncultured bacterium
Lineage: Bacteria
Description: bacterial SSU rRNA
Rfam family: Bacterial small subunit ribosomal RNA
Source: RNAcentral